UUCUCCUCAUUCUCAUCUCUCUCGUCUCUCAUUCUCGUCUAUGAAACCCUAACACCGUCAACCGUCUCUCUCACCAACCACCCUGACUCAACCUUACCUCCACCAUCAGUCACCAUCUCUCACAAACCACCGUUUAUCCUAUUUUAUCAACACUAAAUCAAAGGUUGACACAGUUGCAAGGUAAUAAUAUUUUAUUCGUUUAUGCUACUAAUGGCACCAACCACUGAAUCAAUACGAUUUUGUUGCAAGGUUAAUCUUUUAUUGACUUCAUGGGUGAUUUAGUUUCUUCAAGGUUUUUGCUUGUUGAAAAGUACUUACUGGGUGUUGUUGGUUUGUGUGCUUGUGUCUCAAUCAAUGCAUUCCAAAUAGGUUUGUACUCUGAAUAAAUGUGUGUUUAGUUUCAAAUAUGUGUCUGUGUUCGACGCCAACACGACACUGACACAUAUAAUUAUCAGUGUGGAGGUGUCAAUUGUGUCAUACUUCAAGAGAAAUGAAUUUUCUCAAACUUAAUUUUGUGCUCAUUCAAUACAAAUAUCCAACCACAAUCUAAAACAAGGACAUAAGAGAAAUAAUUUUUCUAAAACAUAAGUUUGUGCUAAUUGUAAGUGUGUUAACUGAUGUAAGUGUAAGUGUAGAAAUAGAGAUGCAAAUGUUGUCUCCUUGUUUUUUUAUCCUAUGUUUUAGAAUAUAUUAAAGAAGAUAUGGGUCAGGACCAAACCUUAGUACAUUUUAAGAAAAUAUGAUAGUGGGAAAAGGUGAAUGGUGCAUGUGAAGU
This is a long non-coding RNA of Vicia villosa (hairy vetch), 775 nucleotides long. RefSeq lists it as uncharacterized. Lineage: Eukaryota; Viridiplantae; Streptophyta; Magnoliopsida; Fabales; Fabaceae. The transcript is spliced from 3 exons. The record is from RefSeq and is a predicted model, not a curated record.